UCGCGUCGUUUCGCUUUCCGAUAUUCCUGACAAAUUAUCAUAAAUGUCACAUUACAAUGCGAAAAAAAUUGAAGUCAAAGGAAUUUGUAACUCGCUGCUACAUCGGAAGGCUCGAUAUAUCUUUAGAAAAUGACGAUAUCUAACAUUUACGGGGUGAAAUCUAUCCAAGUCAGAGAAAAUCGGAUAGCCGCCAUGUUGUCAACAUUGACAUCGAUACAAAGGAAAAGCGUGUGUGUGACGCAUAAUGUAAAUGCAAACAGGAAAUUGUGGAACAUGUUCACACACUCUGGCUGUAAAAGUAGACCUGGGAGGAAAAGUGGCCCCGGUGUGGGGCUCGAACUCACAACCACCAGAACACUAGCCCGGCGUUCUAACCAACUAACCUGACCGGGCAGCUGGUUCUAACCCACACACACUACCCUCCCCCCAUUUACCGGUUAAGGCUGGUGGAGGGUCUCCUGCUAUUUACCGUUGACACCAUUAAAGUAUUCUGAUUGAUGGAGAUAAGGAAGUCCCCUUAUUAUUGUCUUCAACAAGCCUACCGCCACAGGGGACCUAGCAUAAGACCGGACCCCCCCCCCCCCCCACACACACACACAUGAUAUUUGCCAGUCCAGGCAAUGUCAACCGCAAGAGAAAACCAGUGAUGACAAGUUUUACAAAUAAUCGGAAAGUGUGGUCUUUUGAAGAGAGUUCUUGAAGUUGUUCAGCAUGUUGUUUUGAUGGAUUCUUGGAAGGAUGUACCUCUAUGAUGUUAGCUUCAGUUCUGGAGUAUAACACCAGUUGUUGCAUAUUUAAUAUCAG
Mya arenaria is the source of this 804-nucleotide long non-coding RNA. RefSeq lists it as uncharacterized. The transcript has 3 exons. The record is from RefSeq and is a predicted model, not a curated record. NCBI's taxonomy places the organism in Eukaryota, Metazoa, Mollusca, Bivalvia, Myida, Myidae.